CCCGAACUCCUAGGGGAGGCAGCAGGGGGGAAUUUGGAAAAUGGGGGCAACCCUGAUCCAGCCAAGCCGGGGUGUGGAAGAAGGCUUUCGGGUUGUAAAGCACUUUCAGUAGGGAGGAAAACCUUAUGGCUAAUACCCAGGAGGCUUGACGUUACCUACAGAAGAAGCACCGGCUAACUCCGUGCCAGCAGCCGCGGUAAUACGGAGGGUGCAACUGUUAAUCGGAAUUACUGGGCGUAAAGCGCGCGUAGGUGGUUUGGUAAGCGAGAUGUGAAAGCCCCGGGCUUAACCUGGGAACGGCAUUUCGAACUGUCAGACUAGAGUGUGGUAGAGGGUAGUGGAAUUUCCUGUGUAGCGGUGAAAUGCGUAGAUAUAGGAAGGAACACCAGUGGCGAAGGCGGCUACCUGGACCAACACUGACACUGAGGUGCGAAAGCGUGGGGAGCAAACAGGAUUAGAUACCCUGGUAGUCCACGCCGUAAACGAUGUCAACUAGCCGUUGGGACUCUUGAAGUCUUAGUGGCGCAGCUAACGCACUAAGUUGACCGCCUGGGGAGUACGGCCGCAAGGUUAAAACUCAAAUGAAUUGACGGGGGCCCGCACAAGCGGUGGAGCAUGUGGUUUAAUUCGACGCAACGCGAAGAACCUUACCUGGCCUUGACAUCCAGAGAACUUUCCAGAGAUGGAUUGGUGCCUUCGGGAACUCUGAGACAGGUGCUGCAUGGCCGUCGUCAGCUCGUGUCGUGAGAUGUUGGGUUAAGUCCCGUAACGAGCGCAACCCCUAUCCCUGGUUGCUAGCAGGUAAUGCUGAGAACUCCAGGGAGACUGCCGGUGACAAACCGGAGGAAGGUGGGGAUGACGUCAGGUCAUCAUGGCCCUUACGGCCAGGGCUACACACGUGCUACAAUGGCGCGUACAGAGGGCAGCCAACUCGCGAGAGUGAGCCAAUCCCUUAAAACGCGUCGUAGUCCGGAUCGGAGUCUGCAACUCGACUCCGUGAAGUCGGAAUCGCUAGUAAUCGCGAAUCAGAAUGUCGCGGUGAAUACGUUCCCGGGCCUUGUACACACCGCCCGUCACACCAUGGGAGUGGAUGCACCAGAAGUAGUUAGUCUAACUCGGGAUGGAGGACACACAGAGCAGUGGAUCUCGAGAUGACGACGU
RNAcentral lists this ribosomal RNA (1161 nucleotides) under Marinobacter nauticus. Its description in RNAcentral is "bacterial SSU rRNA". It matches the Rfam family "Bacterial small subunit ribosomal RNA", at positions 330 to 1489 of the family's 1533-position model. Lineage: Bacteria; Pseudomonadati; Pseudomonadota; Gammaproteobacteria; Pseudomonadales; Marinobacteraceae. The record is from RNAcentral.